GAUCGCGUAGCUCAGCGGUAGAGCAUCUGACUUUUAAUCAGAGGGUCCCGGGUUCGAUCCCCGGCGCGAUCACCA
RNAcentral lists this transfer RNA (75 nucleotides) under Alphaproteobacteria bacterium. Its description in RNAcentral is "tRNA-Lys". It matches the Rfam family "tRNA". Rfam says of the family: Transfer RNA (tRNA) molecules are approximately 80 nucleotides in length. Their secondary structure includes four short double-helical elements and three loops (D, anti-codon, and T loops). Further hydrogen bonds mediate the characteristic L-shaped molecular structure. tRNAs have two regions of fundamental functional importance: the anti-codon, which is responsible for specific mRNA codon recognition, and the 3' end, to which the tRNAs corresponding amino acid is attached (by aminoacyl-tRNA synthetases). tRNAs cope with the degeneracy of the genetic code in two manners: having more than one tRNA (with a specific anti-codon) for a particular amino acid; and 'wobble' base-pairing, i.e. permitting non-standard base-pairing at the 3rd anti-codon position. RNAcentral also lists the same sequence under 2 other names. The record is from RNAcentral. Lineage: Bacteria; Pseudomonadati; Pseudomonadota; Alphaproteobacteria.